This 495-nucleotide ribosomal RNA is filed under the name uncultured bacterium. Its description in RNAcentral is "partial 16S ribosomal RNA". It matches the Rfam family "Bacterial small subunit ribosomal RNA", at positions 28 to 507 of the family's 1533-position model. The record is from RNAcentral.
GACGAACGCUGGCGGCGUGCCUAAUACAUGCAAGUAGAACGCUGAAGGAGGAGCUUGCUCUUCUGGAUGAGUUGCGAACGGGUGAGUAACGCGUAGGUAACCUGCCUGGUAGCGGGGGAUAACUAUUGGAAACGAUAGCUAAUACCGCAUAACAGUAGAUGUUGCAUGACAUUUGCUGAAAAGUUGCAAUUGCACCACUACCAGAUGGAGCUGCGUUGUAUUAGCUAGUUGGUGGGGUAACGGCUCACCAAGGCGACGAUACAUAGCCGGCCUGAGAGGGGGGUCGGCCACACUGGGACUGAGACACGGCCCAGACUCCUACGGGAGGGAGCAGUAGGGGAUCUUCGGCAAUGGACGGCAGUCUGACCGAGCAAAGCCGGGUGAGUGAAGAAGGUUUUCGGAUCGUAAAGGUCUGUUGUAAGGGAAGGAAGAGUGUGAGGGUGAAAAGUUCACACUGUGACGGUAUCUUACCAGAAAGGGACGGCUAACUACGUG